UCACACACACACACACACACACGGUCGUUUUGUUCACACACACACACACACACACACACACACACACGGUCGUUUUGUUCACACACACACACUGUCGUUUUGUUCACACACACACACAAGGUCGUUUUGUUCACACACACACACACACAAAUGGUCGUUUUGUUCACACACACACACGGUCGUUUUGUUCACACACACACACGGUCGUUUUGUUCACACACACACACGGUCGUUUUGUUCACACACACACACGGUCGUUUUGUUCACACACACACACGGUCGUUUUGUUCACACACACACGGUCGUUUUGUUCACAAACACACACACACGGUCGUUUUGUUCACACACACACACGGUCGUUUUUUUUUCACACACACACACACACACACGGUCGUUUUGUUCUCUCACACACACACGGUCGUUUUGUUCACACACACACACACACACGGUCGUUUUGUUCACACACACACGGUCGUUUUGUUCACACACAACACACACACACGGUCGUUUUGUUCACACACACACACACACGGUCGCUUCGUUCACACACACACACACACACACACGGUCGUUUUGUUCACACACACACACACACGGUCGUUUUGUUCACACACACACACGGUCGUUUUGUUCACACACACACACGGUCGUUUUGUUCACACACACACACACACGGUCGUUUUGUUCACACACACACACACACACACACACACACGGUCGUUUUGUUCACACACACACACACACACGGUCGUUUUGUUCACACACACACACAUGGUCGUUUUGUUCACACACACACACACGGUCGUUUUGUUCACACACACACACACGGUCGUUUUGUUCACACACACACACACGGUCGUUUUGUUCACACACACACACACACAGUCGUUUUGUUCACACACACGCACACACACACACGGUCGUUUUGUUCACACACACACACACACGGUCGUUUUGUUCACACACACACACACGGUCGUUUUGUUCACACACAUACACACACACACACACACACACACACACGGUCGUUUUGUUCACACACACACACACACACACACACACGGUCGUUUUGUUCACACACACACACGGUCGUUUUGUUCACACACACACACGGUCGUUUUGUUCACACACACACACGGUCGUUUUGGUCACACACACACACGGUCGUUUUGUUCACACACACACGGUCGUUUUGUUCACAAACACACACACACACACGGUCGUUUUGUUCACACACACACACGGUCGUUUUUUUCACACACACACACACACACACACACACACACACACCACGGUCGUUUUGUUCUCUCACACACACACGGUCGUUUUGUUCCACACACACACACACACGGUCGUUUUGUUCACACACACACGGUCGUUUUGUUCACACACACACACACACACACACGGUCGUUUUGUUCACACACACACACACACACACGGUCGCUUUGUUCCACACACACACACACACACGGUCGUUUUGUUCACACACACACACACGGUCGUUUUGUUCACACACACACACACACGGUCGUUUUGUUCACACACACAUACACGGUUGUUUUGUUCACACACACGGUCGUUUUGUUCACACACACGGUCGUUUUGUUCACACACACACACGGCCGUUUUGUUCACACACACACACGGCCGUUUUGUUCACACACACACGGUCGUUUUGUUCACACACACACACACAUACACACGGUAGGUUUGUUCUCACACACACACACACACACACACACGGUCGUUUUGUUCACACACACACACACGGUCGUUUUGUUCACACACACGGUCGUUUUGUUCACACACACACACACACGGUCGUUUUGUUCACACACACACACGCGUCGUUUUGUUCCACACACACACACACGGUCGUUUUGUUCACACACACACACACACGGUCGUUUUGUUCACACACACACACGGUCGUUUUGUUCACACACACACACGGUCGUUUUGUUCACACACACACGGUCGUUUUGUUCACACACACACACGGUCGUUUUGUUCACACACACACACGGUCGUUUUGUUCACACACACGGUCGUUUUGUUCACACACACACGGUCGUUUUGUUCUCACACACACACACACACACACGGUCGUUUUGUUCACACACACACACGGUAGUUUUGUUCACACACACAAACACGGUCGUUUUGUUCACACACACAAACACGGUCGUUUUGUUCACACACACACACACACACAGUCGUUUUGUUCACACACACGCACACACACAUACACACACGGUCGUUUUUUCAAACACACACACACAGUCGUUUUGUUCACACACACACACACACACACACGGUCGUUUUGUUCACACACACGGUCGUUUUGUUCACACACACAUACACACACGGUCGUUUUGUUCACACACACACACACACACACACACACACACACACACACACGGUCGUUUUGUUCACACACACACGGUCGUUUUGUUCACACACACACGGUCGUUUUGUUCACACACACACACAUACACACGGUAGGUUUGUUCUCACACACACACACAUACACACACACACACACACGGUCGGUUUGUUCACACACACACACACACACACACACGGUCGCUUUGUUCACACACACAGCGUCGUUUUGCUCACACACACACACGGUCGUUU
Molecule: long non-coding RNA, 2643 nt
Filed under: Salmo salar (Atlantic salmon)
Lineage: Eukaryota; Metazoa; Chordata; Actinopteri; Salmoniformes; Salmonidae
Description: lncRNA (ENSSSAG00000105422.1, ENSSSAG00000113539.1)
Source: RNAcentral